Molecule: ribosomal RNA, 635 nt
Filed under: uncultured bacterium
Lineage: Bacteria
Description: bacterial SSU rRNA
Rfam family: Bacterial small subunit ribosomal RNA
Source: RNAcentral
GCAGUCGAACGGUCUUUUCUAUGGAAGCUUGCUUCCACUGAGAAGAUAGUGGCGAACGGGUGAGUAACACGUGGGUAACCUGCCCAUAAGAGGGGGAUAACAUCCGGAAACGGGUGCUAAUACCGCAUAGUUUUCUUGAUCGCAUGAUCGGGAAAGGAAAGACGGCCUUUGUGCUGUCGCUUAUGGAUGGACCCGCGGCGUAUUAGUUAGUUGGUGAGGUAACGGCUCACCAAGACGAUGAUACGUAGCCGACCUGAGAGGGUGAUCGGCCACAUUGGGACUGAGACACGGCCCAAACUCCUACGGGAGGCAGCAGUAGGGAAUCUUCCGCAAUGGACGAAAGUCUGACGGAGCAACGCCGCGUGAGUGAAGAAGGUUUUCGGAUCGUAAAACUCUGUUGUCAGAGAAGAACAAGUUGGAGAGUAACUGCUCCAGCCUUGACGGUAUCUGACCAGAAAGCCACGGCUAACUACGUGCCAGCAGCCGCGGUAAUACGUAGGUGGCCAAGCGUUGUCCGGAUUUAUUGGGCGUUAAAGCGAGCGCAGGCGGUUCCUUAAGUUCUGAUGUGAAAGCCCACGGCUCAACCGUGGAAGGUCAUUGGAAACUGGGGAACUUGAGUGCAGAAGAGGAGAGUG